This 296-nucleotide long non-coding RNA is filed under the name Bos taurus (domestic cattle). RNAcentral's name for it is "long non-coding RNA NONBTAT025056". The record is from RNAcentral. Lineage: Eukaryota; Metazoa; Chordata; Mammalia; Artiodactyla; Bovidae.
CAGAUUCCAAGAGAUUCUCAGAUAUCCCAAAGAAGUCUCAAUUCAAGUGGGUAAGGCCUUCACGUUUUGAAGUGUGACAUUAGUAGACCAAGCAAGCAUAUUCAGGCAGAGUGGUGUCAAGCAACAGCUGAACUUCACAUAUAUUCCCCUACUAAAAUCCAGAGCAGGAUACACUUCCUAGAAUCUGUAAUCUCUUCCCUGAAAAGAAAAAUAACAGUGACUCAUCAGCUAUUGGUUUAUUCCACAAAAAGGGGCUCUGGAAUGAUGAUGCUUCUACCCAAGACUACUUUUGCUUC